UGUCACUUAGCUCAGUUGGUAGAGCGCUGAACUCGAGUUCAGAUGGUCCGGGUUCAAACCUCGAUGGGUUAA
Daphnia pulex (common water flea) is the source of this 72-nucleotide non-coding RNA. NCBI's taxonomy places the organism in Eukaryota, Metazoa, Arthropoda, Branchiopoda, Diplostraca, Daphniidae. The record is from Rfam.